Molecule: ribosomal RNA, 513 nt
Filed under: uncultured bacterium
Lineage: Bacteria
Description: partial 16S ribosomal RNA
Rfam family: Bacterial small subunit ribosomal RNA
Source: RNAcentral
GACGAACGCUGGCGGCAUGCCUAAUACAUGCAAGUCGAGCGAACAGAUGAAGUGCUUGCACUUCUGACGUUAGCGGCGAACGGGUGAGUAACACGUAAGGAAUCUACCUAUAAGCGGGGGAUAACAUUCGGAAACGGGUGCUAAUACCGCAUAAUAUCUUCUUCCGCAUGGAAGAAGAUUGAAAGACGGCUCUGCUGUCACUUAUAGAUGACCUUGCGGUGCAUUAGUUAGUUGGUGGGGUAACGGCCUACCAAGACGAUGAUGCAUAGCCGACCUGAGAGGUGGAUCGGCAACAUUGGGACUGAGACACGGCCCAAACUCCUACGGGAGGCAGCAGUAGGGAAUCUUCCGCAAUGGGCGAAAGCCUGACGGAGCAAUGCCGCGUGAGUGAAGAAGGCCUUCGGGUCGUAAAACUCUGUUAUAAGAGAAGAACAAAUUGUAGAGUAACCGCUACAGUCUUGACGGUAUCUUAUCAGAAAGCCACGGCUAACUACGUGCCAGCCGCCGCCGUAA